RNA transcript from Gadus morhua (Atlantic cod), 1173 nucleotides. It is a transcript of the gene named biorientation of chromosomes in cell division 1, with no coding region annotated. NCBI's taxonomy places the organism in Eukaryota, Metazoa, Chordata, Actinopteri, Gadiformes, Gadidae. The record is from RefSeq and is a predicted model, not a curated record. The transcript is spliced from 4 exons.
GUUGAUAUCGUAUCAACACUACAUUAGUGUGGGCUAUAGUAUGCGUUUAUAAGGGACAACGGGCUGGAAUUGUUGUUAUAUCUUCCGCGACUACGCUUGAACAAUCUACUUCCGAUGUCAAACUCGACAGAACUGCGCAUGCGUGACCCCUCGAAAAGGAGCGCUCGAAUUGUAGUUCGGCAGUACCGUAACAGACAGGGAGCAGAACCACAGACUGGACUUCAUGUAUGAAGGCAGAUUUGAGCGUCUGUGUAUUAGCUAGUGAGGAUUUGUAUUCGAUCAACACCAACAUUGGUUUAGUUCCCGGCAUGGCGGAGGGCGGCAGCAGCAGCGCCGCAGCGGCCAGCCUACCCCCGGGGGACCCGCAGCUCAUCGCCCUCAUCGUGGAGCACCUGAAGAACCGAGGGCUUUUUGAUGAGUUCCGCAGAGAUUGUCUGGCAGAUGUGGACACUAAGCCUGCCUAUCAGAACCUGCGCCAGAGAGUGGACAACUACGUGUCCACGCAGUUGAGCACGCAGGAGUGGAACGCGUCCAUCAACAAGAACCAGAUGAGGAACGGUCUCCGGCAGAGUGUUGUCCAAUCGUGUAUGCUGGAAUCUGGCGUGGACCGGAUCAUUACUCAAGUGGUGGAUCCUAAAAUGAACCACACGUUUCGGCCGCUCAUUGAAACGGCCAUUCAUGAUUUUCUGUCGGGGGAAAGGAAGGAGGAAAUCCAUGCAGAUUCUAAUCUUACACCUUCAGAGCCGCUGGAUCAGCCGGAGGUCCCCCCUUCUGCAGGCCCCACAACCCCCUGAGGUCAAGACCAAAGACGCUUACAGUGUCAGGAUUACUGCACUACAUUCACACCAGUUCCUGCUGUGAUUGGAUGUCUGCAUAGAAGCUCUUUGACCGGUCACAUGGUGUCAUGUAAAGUUGGCUCCACAAUGGGUUCCUGCUGGAGAGACGGUUCCGAUGGUGAAAGGUGGUCUGAGGCAGCAGCUCUCUGCCAGACGUGUCUAUGGGGGGACAGGCUGGAACACAUGCAGGGAGCUGUGCCAUGAGAUGUUUUGGAAAUAGUUUUUAUAUUCAACUUUUAGGUCGGUCUGACUUAUUUUAAUUUUUUAUGGAUUAAAUGUAUGCAUUAGUUAUUUUGUAUAUUUCGUGCAAUAAAUACAUUGAAUGAAAAACAUUGAA